GACGAACGCUGGCGGCGUGCCUAAUACAUGCAAGUAGAACGCUGAAGGAGGAGCUUGCUUCUCCGGAUGAGUUGCGAACGGGUGAGUAACGCGUAGGUAACCUGCCUGGUAGCGGGGGAUAACUAUUGGAAACGAUAGCUAAUACCGCAUAAGAGUAGAUGUUGCAUGACAUUUGCUUAAAAGGUGCAAUUGCAUCACUACCAGAUGGACCUGCGUUGUAUUAGCUAGUUGGUGGGGUAACGGCUCACCAAGGCGACGAUACAUAGCCGACCUGAGAGGGUGAUCGGCCACACUGGGACUGAGACACGGCCCAGACUCCUACGGGAGGCAGCAGUAGGGAAUCUUCGGCAAUGGACGGAAGUCUGACCGAGCAACGCCGCGUGAGUGAAGAAGGUUUUCGGAUCGUAAAGCUCUGUUGUAAGAGAAGAACGAGUGUGAGAGUGGAAAGUUCACACUGUGACGGUAUCUUACCAGAAAGGGACGGCUAACUACGUGCCAGCAGCCGCGGUAAUACGUAGGUCCCGAGCGUUGUCCGGAUUUAUUGGGCGUAAAGCGAGCGCAGGCGGUUAGAUAAGUCUGAAGUUAAAGGCUGUGGCUUAACCAUAGUACGCUUUGGAAACUGUUUAACUUGAGUGCAAGAGGGGAGAGUGGAAUUCCAUGUGUAGCGGUGAAAUGCGUAGAUAUAUGGAGGAACACCGGUGGCGAAAGCGGCUCUCUGGCU
This 721-nucleotide ribosomal RNA is filed under the name uncultured Bacilli bacterium. Its description in RNAcentral is "bacterial SSU rRNA". It matches the Rfam family "Bacterial small subunit ribosomal RNA", at positions 28 to 734 of the family's 1533-position model. Lineage: Bacteria; Bacillati; Bacillota; Bacilli. The record is from RNAcentral.